AGUAGGACGUUUCCUCCCGCGUG
Molecule: microRNA, 23 nt
Filed under: Bombyx mori (domestic silkworm)
Lineage: Eukaryota; Metazoa; Arthropoda; Insecta; Lepidoptera; Bombycidae
Description: bmo-miR-2775b
Source: miRBase by way of RNAcentral